RNAcentral lists this small RNA (2348 nucleotides) under Pongo abelii (Sumatran orangutan). RNAcentral describes it as "retained intron". Lineage: Eukaryota; Metazoa; Chordata; Mammalia; Primates; Hominidae. The record is from RNAcentral.
CCCCAAUCCACCUCCCUGCCUCACCCCCAACCCGCAAAGCUCACGCAGACUCUGCAGCUCACUCAAGGCCCUCUCGGGCCACCAUGCUUUUGCAUAUGCUGUCCCUGGUCCCGGAAGCACCCUCUGGCAGCCUGCCCCCAGCACAUGCCUAAUUGCCCUUCCAUGCUCUGCCUAAGUGUCGCUCCUCUGGGAGUCCUCCCCACCCAGAAUAUUGUUGGAUGCUCCCCCAUGUCCCCACGGAGUCUGUACAUAUCUGUGCCAUGCCAGUUCACAGCACCCCAUUGUAACUGUGUUUGCGUGUCUUUCCCCACCACUCCACCCCCAUCUCCCUAUGCCCCUGAGGCCCCAGAGGGCCAGGUCUGUGGCUUGUUCAUUUGCACUGUGCCUGGCACUCAGUAGGGACUCAGUGAAUGAAUGUGGAACGUGGUUCACACAGCCAGGGAGAAUGGGAUACCAGCCAGGGCCAGAACAGUCUACUGGGUGGGGCAGGAUCCAGGACAAGGAGGCGAGCAGCCCUUCCUCUGGCCACUCAAGUAGUGGGGACUGGGAGGAGGGGCGCUUUGUCUAUGCAGUCUUCUUGUGGCUCAUCACCAUACAGACAGGGCACCUGCCUCCUGCCACGCUGACUUCAGGACUGGUCGAGGCCCAGGGAACAUUUGCAGGGCAGCCCAACUUUGGCCCUGGCCCUAGCACUGGGCCUGGGCCUGGGGAGGAUAGAAAGUGUGCUGGAUAUAGUCAGACAGAACUGGCUGCCACUUUGGAUUUGAUCCCUUCCACCUUGGCAAGCUUGGGCAAGUUGCUUAAUCUUUCUGAGCCUCAUUGCCUCACUAGGGACGCAGGAGCUGAGGCUGCUUCCCUUGUUGGAAAGCACUGAAGCCCAGGAAUCGACCCACAACAGGCCUUCAACAAAUACCACUUCUCACCGUAUGGGUGAAAUAUGGCACUGGAAAUAAUGCUCUUGCCUAUGGGAGCUACAGAAAGCAUUGAGGUCUCUAUCAAACCCACUCUCCUCUCUCUCGAGAGGAACCAGUGGUGAUACCCUACCGCCCAACCCCAAAGCCGUGUACACCUGGGGGUAAAAAUCUGGGUGCCACGGGCUCAGGAAGGCUUUCUUGGGAGCAAGAGGGAGGUGGGUGUGUCUGGGGAGGCAUUUCUGAGCACAGGAGCCUCCCUGGAGUUUUGCCAUCGUCUCUUCCCAUUCUGUGGAGCCUGGGAUAACCACUGUUCUGACUCUCCUCACCCCUCCAGCCUCCCGGCGUGUGGCCUGCCAACCCGGCUCCCAUUACCCAGACAGUCAUCCACACAGUGCAGAGCACCCCUGGACAGAUGUUCUCUACUCCUGCCAUCCCACCUAUGAUGUACCCCCACCCCGCCUAUCCGAUGCCUUUCAUCACCACCAUUCCGGGAGGGCUGUACCCAUCCAAGUCCAUCAUCCUGUCGGGCACUGUCCUGCCCAGUGCUCAGAGGUUCCACAUCAACCUGUGCUCUGGGAGCCACAUCGCCUUCCACCUGAACCCCCGUUUUGAUGAGAAUGCUGUGGUCCGCAACACCCAGAUCAACAACUCUUGGGGGUCUGAGGAGCGAAGUCUGCCCCGAAAAAUGCCCUUCGUCCGUGGCCAGAGCUUCUCGGUGUGGAUCUUGUGUGAAGCUCACUCCCUCAAGGUGGCCGUGGAUGGUCAGCACCUGUUUGAAUACUACCAUCGCCUGAGGAACCUGCCCACCAUCAACAGACUAGAAGUGGGGGGCGACAUCCAGCUGACCCAUGUGCAGACAUAGGCGGCUUCCUGGCCCUGGGGCCGGGGGCUGGGGUGUGGGGCAGUCUGGGUCUUCUCAUCAACCCCACUUCCCAGGCCCAGCCUUUCCAACCCUGCCUGGGAUCUGGGCUUUAAUGCAGAGGCCAUGUCCUUGUCUGGUCCUGCUUCUGGCUACAGCCACCCUCGAACAGAGAAGGCAGCUGACGGGGAUUGCCUUCCUCAGCCGCAGCAGCACCUGGGGCUCCAGCUGCUGGAAUCCUACCGUCCCAGGAGGCGGGCCCGGUCAGGGAGAGGGGAGGAGCGGGCAGUGCAGAGGAAGCCCCAUGCUCAGUCCCCUCCCAUCCCCCAUGCAGCUCCACCCCAGUCCCAAGCCACCAGCUGUCUGCUUCUGGUGGGAGGUGGCCUCCUCAGCCCCUCCUCUCUGACCUUUAACCUCACUCUCCCCUUGCACCCUGCACCAACCCUUCACCCCUCCUGGAAAGCAGGCCUGAUGGCAUCCCACUGGCCUCCACCACCUGACCAGAGUGUUCUCUUCAGGGGACCGGCUCCUUUCCCAGUGUCCUUAAAAUAAAGAAAUGAAAAUGCUUGUUGGCA